GAUGAACGCUGGCGGCGUGCCUAAUACAUGCAAGUCGAGCGAACGGACGAGAAGCUUGCUUCUCUGAUGUUAGCGGCGGACGGGUGAGUAACACGUGGAUAACCUACCUAUAGGACUGGGAUAACUUCGGGAAACCGGAGCUAAUACCGGAUAAUAUUUUGAACCGCAUGGUUCAAAAGUGAAAGACGGUCUUGCUGUCACUUAUAGAUGGAUCCGCGCUGCAUUAGCUAGUUGGUAAGGUAACGGCUUACCAAGGCAACGAUGCAUAGCCGACCUGAGAGGGUGAUCGGCCACACUGGAACUGAGACACGGUCCAGACUCCUACGGGAGGCAGCAGUAGGGAAUCUUCCGCAAUGGGCGAAAGCCUGACGGAGCAACGCCGCGUGAGUGAUGAAGGUCUUCGGAUCGUAAAACUCUGUUAUUAGGGAAGAACAUAUAUGUAAGUAACUGUGCACAUCUUGACGGUACCUAAUCAGAAAGCCACGGCUAACUACGUGCCAGCAGCCGCGGUAAUACGUAGGUGGCAAGCGUUAUCCGGAAUUAUUGGGCGUAAAGCGCGCGUAGGCGGUUUUUUAAGUCUGAUGUGAAAGCCCACGGCUCAACCGUGGAGGGUCAUUGGAAACUGGAAAACUUGAGUGCAGAAGAGGAAAGUGGAAUUCCAUGUGUAGCGGUGAAAUGCGCAGAGAUAUGGAGGAACACCAGUGGCGAAGGCGACUUUCUGGUCUGUAACUGACGCUGAUGUGCGAAAGCGUGGGGAUCAAACGGGAUUAGAUACCCUGGUAGUCCACGCCGUAAACGAUGAGUGCUAAGUGUUAGGGGGUUUCCGCCCCUUAGUGCUGCAGCUAACGCAUUAAGCACUCCGCCUGGGGAGUACGACCGCAAGGUUGAAACUCAAAGGAAUUGACGGGGACCCGCACAAGCGGUGGAGCAUGUGGUUUAAUUCGAAGCAACGCGAAGAACCUUACCAAAUCUUGACAUCCUUUGACAACUCUAGAGAUAGAGCUUUCCCCUUCGGGGGACAAAGUGACAGGUGGUGCAUGGUUGUCGUCAGCUCGUGUCGUGAGAUGUUGGGUUAAGUCCCGCAACGAGCGCAACCCUUAAGCUUAGUUGCCAUCAUUAAGUUGGGCACUCUAAGUUGACUGCCGGUGACAAACCGGAGGAAGGUGGGGAUGACGUCAAAUCAUCAUGCCCCUUAUGAUUUGGGCUACACGCGUGCUACAAUGGACAAUACAAAGGGCAGCGAAACCGCGAGGUCAAGCAAAUCCCAUAAAGUUGUUCUCAGUUCGGAUUGUAGUCUGCAACUCGACUACAUGAAGCUGGAAUCGCUAGUAAUCGUAGAUCAGCAUGCUACGGUGAAUACGUUCCCGGGUCU
Molecule: ribosomal RNA, 1372 nt
Filed under: uncultured bacterium
Lineage: Bacteria
Description: bacterial SSU rRNA
Rfam family: Bacterial small subunit ribosomal RNA
Source: RNAcentral